ACUACAAUAUUAUUACUAUGAUUUUCCUGAAAUGAUUCAAUGUGUACUGUUAUUAUUGUUAUUAUCAUUGCUGUGAGACAGAUUCAUGAUUUAGUGCAAUCAGGGUGGGGGUUCCUGGGAACGCAGUAAUUUUUUGUAUAGACUCGUAUUUGUAUUGAGAAAUCCAGUAAAUAUAUAAGUAUUAGUAGUUGGGAACCCAGUUACAAAGUCAUCUGUUGGUCACGUGGCAGAGAUUGCACCUGUUAAGCUCGGGCGCCCUCCUUCACGAGGGAUCGAUUCCCCUCUGUGGCACUUAUAUUGUCUCUUUUUUACCAUUGAUAGUACAGAAAAGGCUCAAAUAUGCCAUCGAACUAUCGGAAAUGGCUUAUUUAUGCCACUCAUCAAUAGUUUGGCUCAUUUAUGCCAUCGAACUAUCGGAAAUGGCUCAUUUAUGCCACUCAUCAAUAGUUUGGCUCAUUUAUGCCAUCGCUUGUUGCCAAAAUGACUCAUCCAUGCAAUUUUUCAUUAACACCGAUUUUAUAAUACCAUUUAUGACACGUGGCCUCCAAUCAGAGGUCUACGUCGUUUAAUUAAACAGCCCAAUUUUAAAUCCCAAAUUAAUAAAACAUCCGACCCAUACACCCUACUCACCCACAACCAUAAUCUAGUUGGAGGCCACGUGUCCUAUCUGGUAUUGUAAAAACCGGCGUUAAUGAAAAAUAGUGUGGAUGAGUCAUUUUGGUAACAGGCGAUGGCAUAAAUGAGCCAAACUAUUGACGAGUGGCAUAAAUGAGCCAUUUUAUAUAGUUCGAUGGUAUUAAUGAGCCAAACUAUUGAUGAGUGACAUAAAUGAGCCAUUUCCGAUAGUUCGAUGGCAUAUUUGAGCCUUUUCCGUUGAUAGUAUAAGAAUCAUUAGUUGGGGACCCAGUAACAAAGUUAUCUACUGGUCACUUUUUAAGCUACACUUAUUUUGUCUCUUUUUUGUUUUAAAAAACAAAAAAGUUGAGAUUGUUGGAACCCAUAAACUUCAAAUCCUGAAUUUGCCUCUGAGUGCAAUAAAAUGUAUACAUACAUAGUCUAUAAUUUUUCAGAAAUUUACAUGGUGCGAAUAGAAAGCAGUAGGUUCGGUUAAGCGCACUGUGCGGAACUGAAUCGUCAUCUAUCCCUACUCCUGUCCCACUUCUUUAAGUGGAUUAAUUUGACUUUUCUGAUAAAAUUUGAAAUUUCUAGAGUGAUGUAUGACCUCAAUUUUUCCAAGCCCAAGAAAAAAAUUAGUCUUUGAUAGACUAGGAUGGAGUCAAUUUUGAAUAAUCAAAUCCAAAAGGCUAAGUUAAGUAAUAAGUUAUAAUUUAAAAUUGAAUGCAGUUACUGUUAUCCCUGUAUUCAAAUCAUAUUUACUGAAAAACAAAAACGUUUUAGUUUCGAGCCCACAAAAUUGUGUUUCCUUAAGGAAUUUAAUCCCCUCACAAUGGCCCAAGGUUUGGAUUAAUUCCUCACAGGAUAGAAUGAAACUCUAUUCUGCAAUACUGGCAAUCGAGAUUGCAGAACUUCAGCGAACUCAAUAAACGACAGUAAAUCACACGACACUUACUUUUCUCUUUGGAAAACAAUGCAUAGAAGAGGAGAUGAAGAAGAUUAAUUUCAGAGAGUAGCUGCGUGAUAUUAGUGUGUGAAAUGAGGCGAAACCUCUGAAAUUUUUUAUGGCCAACUGUUGGAGUCUCAACAGGUGCGAAAAUGCCUAUUGGCAAGAGCGGUUGGGAAAUUUGUUACCGUUUGAGAAUUAUUUUUUACCGUGAAUUUAAGUUUAAAUUUUCCGCGGAAAAAAAUAAAUAAUCAGAAAUGGAAUAUUAAAUAACGGAAAAUGGAAAUAAAUUCGGUCCAAAAAAUAUAUCAAUCAAAUCAUUUGACCAAAUCCAAAUCUAAAUCCGAAGUCGAGCCGAGGGACGACGCAAGGGAAUACUCUCUUCAACUCUUUAAGAGCUAGAAGAAGUGAUUCUAUAUAUAAGCACAUAAGAAGUGUUUACCCCCACCAAUGAGGUACAAAGUGCCUUUGCUAAAAUGAAAUUUGUUUGAAUUUCAUUUCUCUCCAUUUUAUUUCCCACCAUUUCUCAAUUCACACUUCAUCUUUAAAGCCCAACACUUGAAGUCUUUAAAGCCCAACAAUCCCCCACAUGAAUGGGGAAUGACUAUAUUAUGAAAACAUGCAUGAAAAUACUGUGUGAUUUACAAGAAACAAUUAAUCGCAUCUGGGUAAGAAACUUAAGGUAUUUUAUUUACACAUUUCUGUUUCAUCUUAUAUUUUGUUUUGGUUGGAGAUUAAAAUCUUCGGAUUUUCUACUCCGUUAAUUUACUCGAUGUGAAGAUAUAAAAAUUUAAUUUACUCGAUGUGAAGAUAUAAAUACUUGCUCAAGGUAAUAAGUUUUUGCAUUCGGUUUGAAGAAUAUAAAAACAUAACGUCAUCGAUUUAUUAAUUCUAUUUCUGUUGUACCAAACAAAAUGGGAGAAACAACGCUACUGUGAAUGCUAAUGGUUCUGGUGCAACAAAUGUUGCCUCGUCCAGCAGCACUACUCCAGCAAGCAAUACCAGUGGCAGAAAAGCCCAAAAAAUUUUCCAGCAUUGACUUUAAGCACUGGCAGCAAAAGAUGUUUUUCUACUUGAUCACCUUCAGUUUGCAGAAGUUUAUUACUGAGGAUGUUCCAGUCCUGUCAGAUGAUACUCCUAACAACGAGCGCUUUGUGGUGACAGAGGCGUGGAAACAUUCUAACUUUCUUUGCAAAAAUUAUAUUCUGAAUGGUUUGGAAGAUGGUAUCUAUAAUGUUUAUAGCGUGUGUAAAUUUUCUAAAGAGUUAUGAAAUGCUUUGGACAAGAAAUACAAGACCGAAGACGCUGGACUGAACCAAAUUUCUGAAAUUUAAAAUGAUUGACAGCAAAUCUGUCAUGUCGUAGGUCCAGAAAUUACAAGUUAUUAUUCACGAUCUCUUUGCAGAAGGAAUGAGAAUUAACAAAGUUUUUCAAGUUGCCUCCUUUGUGGAGGGACUUUAAAAACUACUCGAAGCAUAAAAGCAAGGAGAUAAAGUUGGAAGAUCUAAUUGUUCGUCUCAGAAUUGAAAAGUACAGCAGAUCUGUAGAAAAGAAAGCGAAUGAAAAGUCAGCAAUAAUGGGGGGGAGUAUUGUUGAAAAUGCUCCAACAAAUUUGAAGAAAAGGAAAAGGGCUUCUGGACUAAAAAAUUUUCCAAGUAAGAAGAAGUUCAAACAAAAUUGCUACAACUGUGGCAAGUUUGGACACGUGUCUACAGAAUGCUGUGAGAGGCGGAUCUAAAAUUUAAACUCUAGGGGUUCAAUCUUUUAAUUUUUUAGCAUUGAGCCAUUAUAUGUCUAAAGUUAUGGGUUCAUAUCUAUUAUUUAUUGUAAUUUUAGUAAAUUUUUACACAUAAAUUUGUACCCCGCAUUGAAAGUUUGGGGUUCAAUUGAACCCCUAGUUAAUGUGCUUCAUCCGCCUCUGAAUGCUGUGCUCUAAAGAAAGAUAAAGAUAAGAAGAAGGGUCAAGCAAACAUGACAGAAAUUAAUGAAGACGUGGACAACUUAUGUGUCAUGCUUUCAGAAUGCAACUUGCUGGACCCGAAGAGACAAUUUUCAUGGCAAAUUCUGCUAUUGCAAAAAUAGAAGGAACAGUCAAGAUUGCUUUGACAUCAAGCAAGAUUGUGACUCUAAACAAUGUCCUUCAUGUUCCUGAACUGCGGAAGAAUUUAGUAUCAACAUCACUUCUAGUCAAAAACGGAUUCAAGUGUGUUUUUGUUUCCGACAAGGUUGUAGUUUGCAAAAAUGAGAUAUAUGCAGGAAAGGGUUACCUUACUGAGGGCCUUUUCAAACUCAAUGUAAUUGCAGUUGAUAGGAAUAAAAAUUUUGUUUCUUCUUACUUA
Lycium ferocissimum is the source of this 3900-nucleotide long non-coding RNA. RefSeq lists it as uncharacterized. The record is from RefSeq and is a predicted model, not a curated record. The transcript is spliced from 2 exons. NCBI's taxonomy places the organism in Eukaryota, Viridiplantae, Streptophyta, Magnoliopsida, Solanales, Solanaceae.